AUGCUCAGCUCCAUGGAUGCUCUCAUGCACCGCAAUAUACUCGUUGCGCAGAGCGGGUUCUUCACCGCCAAGCUCUCGGACCGCUGGUCCAAUCAGCGGUGGACAUUGUCUCACAUUAACCAGAUCUCCGACUGGGACAACGUGGAGAUAGACAUGGCGGUUCCGUCCCCUGCUCGACACCUCGCUGGUGCUGAUAGGCGCGCUCCGUGUCACUGCAGCAGAGCGGCACCAGACACAAUCCCCCACCUGGGCCGCCCUCACUCUGCUUAA
This 270-nucleotide ribosomal RNA is filed under the name Triticum aestivum (bread wheat). RNAcentral describes it as "partial small subunit ribosomal RNA". Lineage: Eukaryota; Viridiplantae; Streptophyta; Magnoliopsida; Poales; Poaceae. The record is from RNAcentral.